GGGGCUAUGGCCCAAUGGUAAGGCGUCUGACUACGAAUCAGGAGAUCGUCGGUUCGAUCCCGGCUAGCCUCU
Gorgonomyces haynaldii is the source of this 72-nucleotide non-coding RNA. The record is from the annotation of a GenBank genome assembly. Lineage: Eukaryota; Fungi; Chytridiomycota; Chytridiomycetes; Rhizophydiales; Gorgonomycetaceae.